GAGGGUGUAGCUCGGUGGUAGAGCAUGUGCCUAGCAUGUACGAGGUCCUGGGUUCCAUCCCCAGCACCUCCA
Molecule: transfer RNA, 72 nt
Filed under: Camelus ferus (Wild Bactrian camel)
Lineage: Eukaryota; Metazoa; Chordata; Mammalia; Artiodactyla; Camelidae
Rfam family: tRNA
About the family: Transfer RNA (tRNA) molecules are approximately 80 nucleotides in length. Their secondary structure includes four short double-helical elements and three loops (D, anti-codon, and T loops).
Source: Rfam by way of RNAcentral